AACGAACGCUGGCGGCAUGCCUAACACAUGCAAGUCGAACGAUGCCUUCGGGCAUAGUGGCGCACGGGUGCGUAACGCGUGGGAAUCUGCCUUUCGGUUCGGAAUAACUCAGGGAAACUUGAGCUAAUACCGGAUAACGUCGCAAGACCAAAGAUUUAUCACCGAAAGAUGAGCCCGCGUAGGAUUAGCUAGUUGGUGAGGAAAAGGCUCACCAAGGCGACGAUCCUUAGCUGGUCUGAGAGGAUGAUCAGCCACACUGGGACUGAGACACGGCCCAGACUCCUACGGGAGGCAGCAGUGGGGAAUAUUGGACAAUGGGCGAAAGCCUGAUCCAGCAAUGCCGCGUGAGUGAUGAAGGCCUUAGGGUUGUAAAGCUCUUUUACCCGGGAAGAUAAUGACGGUACCGGGAGAAUAAGCCCCGGCUAACUCCGUG
Molecule: ribosomal RNA, 433 nt
Filed under: uncultured bacterium
Lineage: Bacteria
Description: partial 16S ribosomal RNA
Rfam family: Bacterial small subunit ribosomal RNA
Source: RNAcentral